CGCACAUUGCGCCCUUUGGUAUUCCGAUGGGCAUGCCGUAGCGAGCGUCUUUUCUACUUCUGAACUUUGUUUAGGUGUUGGGCUAAGCCUGUGCUGGCCUGUAAAGAAGAGCGCUGGCAGCUGUGAGUCCGGUUUGGCAGGAGUCAUCCGCACAGUUGUUGGUGAUAAAUCAACCCUUUGGGUUACUGAUUUUGACCUCGUUGCGACAAGAAUACCCGCUGAACUUAA
This 228-nucleotide unclassified non-coding RNA is filed under the name Subulicystidium longisporum. RNAcentral describes it as "partial internal transcribed spacer 2". Lineage: Eukaryota; Fungi; Basidiomycota; Agaricomycetes; Trechisporales; Hydnodontaceae. The record is from RNAcentral.